UCAGGGAUGGGAGAGGCACGCCAGAGGAGUGAAAACACAUUUUAUGUAUGGAUUAAAAUUCUGCAAAGAGACUGACGAGCAUAUGAUUUAAAAAUCUUAGAUUAUUUGAGCUAAUGACAUAACUGUGGGACUCUUUAGAGUGAAGUUACUAGCAAUCAGGAAAUAAAAACCAUAAUUGAAUUUAAUGUAUCUGCCAGACCAUAGAAUGUCUCGUUUCUCCUAGUUUCCCAUAUUCCUGCUUGGUUUGUUUUGUUCUGGCAGAUAUUGAAAACGGUGAUAUCUUCUGAACAAAUACUGAACAAAAGUAACUUAAAAUUUGUUUAUUUGUGACAGUGCCUUAUGUGACCCAACUGAAUCCAACUCAUUAAAAAAUUUGAUCCUCCUGCCCCUACCUUCCAGGGCAGAGAAGCACCCUAGGCCCAACAGAUGCCACAUAGAAUGCCAACUUAUAUUUACACUUUUUAUUUUUCUACUUUGAAUUACCACAAACCAAGUUUCAUACCUGAUUUCCCAUUUCAGAAAGAGGAUGCUACUGCAUUGGGUUAUUGCUUAAUCAUGCAUUAUUAUCUUCUCAAUAAUAUUCACAACAAACUCACAGACAACUGAGGUCACCCUGUAAGGUUGUAAAGAUGAUUUACAAUCAGUUGGGAAGGUAUAAUAUGAAGAUUCAAAGGCGAGGAGCUAGCAAGAAGAGGCUUUAUCCUACCUGGUAUAAGAUUUCAGUAAAGGAAAGUCAACCUCAUCACAGAGUGUGGAUGCUGGUGGAUUACGUGCACAGACCAACCUGUGUCAGCCUUUGUUGAUAUGUUCGAUUAUGCAACAAAACAAACUAAUUAAUUGGAUCUAUCCAUCCACCCAUCAAUUGAUCUGUGAUCUACUCCUUCAUCUAUGUUGGUUACAUUUUUGUCAACUUGACAGAAGCUAGAGUCAUCUAUGAAUUGGGAAUGACAGUUGGAGAACCGCACCCAUCAAAUUGGUCUGUAAACAAGUCUGCAGACCAUUUUCAUGAUUGGUGACUGAUGUGUGGCACUGUGGGAAGUGCCACCCACAGCAGUGAAGUGACCAUGCAGACCAGAAUAACAAAAUGUCAUUCCUAUGAAGAGAUGUAGCAUAAGAGUGCUAUGGAACACCAGGUACAGAAGCCAAGGAGCAUUUUAGAAGCCUUCCACUGAUAGCAGAGAUGGAACCAUUUUACAGACAUUGCUCUGACUGAGAAAUUGUUAGUACAAUGCUCUGAGUUCUUCCUCAUUGAGGAGUAUCGGCUGGAUCGUCUCAUGAAUCAGGUGGACUUAUGUUGGAGGGUGACAUGGAGUAGGUUUGGGGGAAGGUUAGUAUAGUUCAUAUCACUUAUAGCCUGGAAGCAGUUUCAAUGACGAGGAACUAAUUUUUCACUUUCUGUCAACUGCUUUGUCCUGAAUGUGUAUAGAGCUUGAUGCUGGUCUCUACAUUAAAAGUUCUGUGUUAUGAAG
Molecule: long non-coding RNA, 1469 nt
Organism: Mus musculus (house mouse)
Lineage: Eukaryota; Metazoa; Chordata; Mammalia; Rodentia; Muridae
Product: predicted gene, 37041
Exons: 4
Source: RefSeq, a predicted model, not a curated record